RNAcentral lists this ribosomal RNA (808 nucleotides) under mouse gut metagenome. RNAcentral's name for it is "bacterial SSU rRNA". It matches the Rfam family "Bacterial small subunit ribosomal RNA", at positions 8 to 819 of the family's 1533-position model. The record is from RNAcentral.
AGAGUUUGAUCCUGGCUCAGGAUGAACGCUGGCGGCGUGCUUAACACAUGCAAGUCGAGCGAAGCAUUCUGCUUUAAAUCUUCGGAGGCGAAGCAGUCUGACUGAGCGGCGGACGGGUGAGUAACGCGUGGGCAACCUGCCUCAUACAGGGGGAUAACAGUUAGAAAUGACUGCUAAUACCGCAUAAGACCGCGGUACCGCAUGGUACAGCGGUAAAAACUCCGGUGGUAUGAGAUGGGCCCGCGUCUGAUUAGCUAGUUGGCGGGGUAACGGCCCACCAAGGCGACGAUCAGUAGCCGACCUGAGAGGGUGACCGGCCACAUUGGGACUGAGACACGGCCCAAACUCCUACGGGAGGCAGCAGUGGGGAAUAUUGCACAAUGGGGGAAACCCUGAUGCAGCGACGCCGCGUGAGCGAUGAAGUAUUUCGGUAUGUAAAGCUCUAUCAGCAGGGAAGAAAAUGACGGUACCUGACUAAGAAGCCCCGGCUAACUACGUGCCAGCAGCCGCGGUAAUACGUAGGGGGCAAGCGUUAUCCGGAUUUACUGGGUGUAAAGGGAGCGUAGACGGCAAUGCAAGCCAGAUGUGAAAGCCCGGGGCUCAACCCCGGGACUGCAUUUGGAACUGUGUAGCUGGAGUGUCGGAGAGGCAGGCGGAAUUCCUAGUGUAGCGGUGAAAUGCGUAGAUAUUAGGAGGAACACCAGUGGCGAAAGCGGCCUGCUGGACGAUGACUGACGUGAGGCUCGAAGCGUGGGGAGCAAACAGGAUUAGAUACCCUGGUAGUCCACGCCGUAACGAUGACUACUAA